Molecule: ribosomal RNA, 175 nt
Filed under: uncultured bacterium
Lineage: Bacteria
Description: partial 16S ribosomal RNA
Rfam family: Bacterial small subunit ribosomal RNA
Source: RNAcentral
CCGUGAAGCUGGAUUCGCUAGUAAUCGCGCAUCAGCCAUGGCGCGGUGAAUACGUUCCCGGGCCUUGUACACACCGCCCGUCAAGCCAUGGGAGCCGGGGGUGCUUGAAGUGCGUCGCCGCAAGGCGCGCCCUAGAGCAAAACCGGUGACUGGGGCUAAGUCGUAACAAGGUAGC